UACGUAGGCAGCAAGCGUUGUUCGGAGUUACUGGGCGUAAAGGGCGCGUAGGCGGCACGGCAAGUCGGGAGUGAAAGGCCUGGGCUCAACCGAGGAACUGCUUUCGAGACUGCCGAGCUAGAGUGCAGAAGGGGCAACUGGAAUUCCCAGUGUAGCGGUGAAAUGCGUAGAUAUUCGGAAGAACACCAGUGGCGAAGGCGGCUCACUGGACUGGUAUUGACGCUGAGGUGCGAAAGCGUGGGGAGCAAACAGG
Molecule: ribosomal RNA, 253 nt
Filed under: uncultured bacterium
Lineage: Bacteria
Description: partial 16S ribosomal RNA
Rfam family: Bacterial small subunit ribosomal RNA
Source: RNAcentral